This 291-nucleotide ribosomal RNA is filed under the name Spodoptera frugiperda (fall armyworm). RNAcentral describes it as "partial small subunit ribosomal RNA". Lineage: Eukaryota; Metazoa; Arthropoda; Insecta; Lepidoptera; Noctuidae. The record is from RNAcentral.
AAACUAGGAUUAGAUACCCCUAUUAUUAAAAUUUAAAUUGAAAAUACUAAAAUAGUAGAUAAUUAUUUAUUGAAACUUAAAUAAUUUGGCGGUAUUUUAGUUCAUUUAGAGGAAUCUGUUUAAUAAUUGAUAAUCCCCGAAUAAAUUUACUUAAUUUUUUAUUUUGUAUAUCGUUGUUAAAAAAAUAUUUUUUAAUAAUAAUAAUAUUUAAAAAUUUUGAUUAAAAAUUAAAUCAGAUCAAGAUGCAGAUUAUAAUUAAGAAUAUAAUGGAUUACAAUAAAUUUAUUUAGA